GGAAGGAUCAUUACUGAAUUGUCAAACGGGCUGUUGCUGGUCCUCGAACGGGGGCAUGUGCACGCUCUGUUUACACAUCCACUCACACCUGUGCACCCUCUGUAGUUUUACGGUCUGGGGGACCCUGUCUUCCUUCCGUAGUUCUACGUCUUUACACACACACACUGUAAUAAAGUCUUAUGGAAUGUAUGCCGCGUCUAACGCAACACAAUACAACUUUCAGCAACGGAUCUCUUGGCUCUCGCAUCGAUGAAGAACGCAGCGAAAUGCGAUAAGUAAUGUGAAUUGCAGAAUUCAGUGAAUCAUCGAAUCUUUGAACGCACCUUGCGCCCCUUGGAUAUUCCGAGGGGCAUGCCUGUUUGAGUAUCAUGAACACCUCAACUCUCAUGGUUUGCCGUGAUGAGCUUGGACCUUGGGGGUUUUGCUGGCCUGUGGUCGGCUCCUCUCAAAUGAAUCAGCCUCCCAGUGUUUGGUGGCAUCACGAGUGUGAUAACUAUCUACGCUCGCGGUUUUCCACCAGGUAACCUUUGGUGACAAAGGUUCGCUGGAGCUCACAGAUGUCUCUCCUCAGCGAGGACAGCUUUUUAACGUUCGAUCUCAAAUCAGGUAGG
Molecule: ribosomal RNA, 611 nt
Filed under: uncultured fungus
Lineage: Eukaryota; Fungi
Description: eukaryotic LSU rRNA
Rfam family: 5.8S ribosomal RNA (bases 215-369)
Source: RNAcentral